UGUAUGUUUGUGCUAAGUUCAAGGGUAAUAUAGCAAUGAUGUAUGUUUGUGGUGAGUAUAAGGGUAAUAUAGCAAUGGUGUAUGUUUGUGGUGAGUGUAAGGGUAAUAUAGCAAUGGUGUAUGUAUGUGGUGAUUAUAAGGGUAAUAUAGCAAUAGUGUAUGUGGUGAGUGUAAGGGUAAUAUAGCAAUGGUGUAUGUGGUGAGUAUAAGGGUAAUAUAGCAAUGGUGUAUGUUUGUGUGAGUAUAAGGGUAAUAUAGCAAUGGUGUAUGUUUGUUGUGAGUAUAAGGGUAAUAUAGCAAUGGUAUAUUUGUGAUGAGUAUAAGGUAAUAUAGCAAUGGUGUAUGUUUGUGGUGAGUAUAAGGGUA
Molecule: long non-coding RNA, 366 nt
Filed under: Mytilus galloprovincialis (Mediterranean mussel)
Lineage: Eukaryota; Metazoa; Mollusca; Bivalvia; Mytilida; Mytilidae
Source: RNAcentral